ACAUGUCCAAAUCAUUUUUGGAGCCACUUUAAAUAAAUUUUGUUAUGUGAUUUCAAUGCAAUCAUACAUCUGUUUUUUAGGCCAAAUUAGCUGCCUCUCUUGAGCAACUGUGUGAUGAGUUGCCUGCCCAAAUCACUAAACUCUGCCACACUGAGGUGGAAAAGAUGCUUCCUUUUGCCAUCACCUUCAUUACCAGCAUGAUGGAACCCGGUGACAUCUGUACAUUUCUUGGAUUGUGUGGAGGACGUGACAUUGACAGGAUUAGAGAUCUGUUGCUUAAUCACGUCAAAAACUCUACCAGUGCCAACUAUGAAGGUAACAUUUGAGGAAAUGAUUUUGAAGUUAUUGUUUGCAUGUUCUGCACAGCUGACUAGGUUUCUCUGCUCUCUAAUACAGAUGGAGACAUCCAUGCAGUGCUCUGUUUGCACAUACAUUGUGAGCACCCUGAGAGUAUCUGUUUCCCAGAGAGAGGACUCAGAGCAUCAUAACUGUCCUGCUGGAGAGUUUGUGCAAAGAGUUUCCUCCUCUGUUUCAGCCCACAGUGCAAUAAGAUGGCUGAAAAAUACAUCCAGCUAUACAUAUAUAUGUAUGUAUAUAUAUAUAUAUAUUUUCCUACAACAGAAUUUUCCUACAACAGAAUAACUCAAAUGGAGAUAGUCCAGUAACAGAAUGCAGAGUAGCACGGUAAGCACGGUAAGCAUGGACGCGUAUUGAAGCGAUGAGAAGAGGAAAUGUUGAAUAAAGUUUUGUUUUCAUCAUGUUAAAAAAGUAACUUCAUAACAUUACAGUUGAAUC
Cyprinus carpio (common carp) is the source of this 795-nucleotide long non-coding RNA. RefSeq lists it as uncharacterized. The transcript has 3 exons. NCBI's taxonomy places the organism in Eukaryota, Metazoa, Chordata, Actinopteri, Cypriniformes, Cyprinidae. The record is from RefSeq and is a predicted model, not a curated record.